Molecule: ribosomal RNA, 500 nt
Filed under: uncultured bacterium
Lineage: Bacteria
Description: partial 16S ribosomal RNA
Rfam family: Bacterial small subunit ribosomal RNA
Source: RNAcentral
ACUCAAAUGAAUUGACGGGGACCCGCACAAGCGGUGGAGCAUGUGGUUUAAUUCGAGGCAACGCGAAGAACCUUACCAGGCCUUGACAUGGGGAGUAUGGGGUGCAGAAAAGCACUCCUUCAGUUUGGCUGGCUCCCACACAGGUGCUGCAUGGCUGUCGUCAGCUCGUGUCGUGAGAUGUUGGGUUAAGUCCCGCAACGAGCGCAACCCUCAUCCUUAGUUGCCAUCAUUUAGUUGGGCACUCUAAGGAAACUGCCGGUGAUAAGCCGGAGGAAGGUGGGGAUGACGUCAAGUCUUCAUGGCCCUUACGGCCUGGGCUACACACGUGCUACAAUGGCGGUGACAGAGAGUCGCGACCCUGCAAGGGGUAGCUAAUCUCCAAAAGCCGUCUCAGUUCGGAUUGUACUCUGCAACUCGAGUACAUGAAGCUGGAAUCGCUAGUAAUCGCGCAUCAGCUCGGCGCGGUGAAUACGUUCCCGGGUCUUGCACACACCGCCCGU